RNAcentral lists this ribosomal RNA (659 nucleotides) under Lactobacillus sp. LQC 1954. RNAcentral describes it as "bacterial SSU rRNA". It matches the Rfam family "Bacterial small subunit ribosomal RNA", at positions 93 to 738 of the family's 1533-position model. The record is from RNAcentral. Lineage: Bacteria; Bacillati; Bacillota; Bacilli; Lactobacillales; Lactobacillaceae.
GAGUGGCGAACUGGUGAGUAACACGUGGGAAACCUGCCCAGAAGCGGGGGAUAACACCUGGAAACAGAUGCUAAUACCGCAUAACAACUUGGACCGCAUGGUCCGAGCUUGAAAGAUGGCUUCGGCUAUCACUUUUUGGAUGGUCCCGCGGCGUAUUAGCUAGAUGGUGGGGAACGGCUCACCAUGGCAAUGAUACGUAGCCGACCUGAGAGGGUAAUCGGCCACAUUGGGACUGAGACACGGCCCAAACUCCUACGGGAGGCAGCAGUAGGGAAUCUUCCACAAUGGACGAAAAGUCUGAUGGAGCAACGCCGCGUGAGUGAAGAAGGGUUUCGGCUCGUAAAACUCUCUUGUUAAAGAAGAACAUAUCUGAGAGUAACUGUUCAGGUAUUGACGGUAUUUAACCAGAAAGCCACGGCUAACUACGUGCCAGCAGCCGCGGUAAUACGUAGGUGGCAAGCGUUGUCGGAUUUAUUGGGCGUAAAGCGAGCGCAGGCGGUUUUUUAAGUCUGAUGUGAAAGCCUUCGGCUCAACCGAAGAAGUGCAUCGGAAACUGGGAAACUUGAGUGCAGAAGAGGACAGUGGAACUCCAUGUGUAGCGGUGAAAUGCGUAGAUUAUGGAAGAACACCAGUGGCGAAGGCGGCUGUCUGGUUCUGUA